UGAACGCUGGCGGCGUGCCUAAUACAUGCAAGUCGAGCGAACAGACGAGGAGCUUGCUCCUCUGACGUUAGCGGCGGACGGGUGAGUAACACGUGGAUAACCUACCUAUAAGACUGGGAUAACUGCGGGAAACCGGAGCUAAUACCGGAUAAUAUAUUGAACCGCAUGGUUCAAUAGUGAAAGACGGUUUUGCUGUCACUUAUAGAUGGAUCCGCGCCGCAUUAGCUAGUUGGUAAGGUAACGGCUUACCAAGGCAACGAUGCGUAGCCGACCUGAGAGGGUGAUCGGCACCACUGGAACUGAGACACGGUCCAGACUCCUACGGGAGUCAGCAGUAGGGAAUCUUCCGCAAUGGGCGAAAGCCUGACGGAGCAACGCCGCGUGAGUGAUGAAGGUCUUCGGAUCGUAAAACUCUGUUAUUAGGGAAGAACAAAUGUGUAAGUAACUAUGCACGUCUUGACGGUACCUAAUCAGAAAGCCACGGCUAACUACGUG
This 495-nucleotide ribosomal RNA is filed under the name uncultured bacterium. RNAcentral describes it as "partial 16S ribosomal RNA". It matches the Rfam family "Bacterial small subunit ribosomal RNA", at positions 30 to 507 of the family's 1533-position model. The record is from RNAcentral.